UGGCGGGACGGGGUGGAGUAAUGUCUGGGAAACUGCCCGAUGGAGGGGGGUAACUACUGGAAACGGUAGCUAAUACCGCAUAACGUCGCAAGACCAAAGAGGGGGACCUUCGGGCCUCUUGCCAUCGGAUGUGCCCAGAUGGGAUUAGCUAGUAGGUGGGGUAACGGCUCACCUAGGCGACGAUCCCUAGCUGGUCUGAGAGGAUGACCAGCCACACUGGAACCGAGACACGGUCCAG
RNAcentral lists this ribosomal RNA (238 nucleotides) under uncultured bacterium. RNAcentral describes it as "partial 16S ribosomal RNA". It matches the Rfam family "Bacterial small subunit ribosomal RNA", at positions 104 to 334 of the family's 1533-position model. The record is from RNAcentral.